AGAGUUUGAUCAUGGCUCAGGAUGAACGCUAGCUACAGGCUUAACACAUGCAAGUCGAGGGGCAGCAUUUUAGUUUGCUUGCAAACUAAAGAUGGCGACCGGCGCACGGGUGAGUAACACGUAUCCAACCUGCCGAUAACUCGGGGAUAGCCUUUCGAAAGAAAGAUUAAUAUCCGAUAGUAUAUUUUCUCCGCAUGGCGAGAAUAUUAAAGAAUUUCGGUUAUCGAUGGGGAUGCGUUCCAUUAGUUUGUUGGCGGGGUAACGGGCCCACCAAGACUACGAUGGAUAGGGGUUCGUGAGAGGAAGGUCCCCCACCAUUGGAACUGAGACACGGUCCAAACUCCUACGGGAGGCAGCA
RNAcentral lists this ribosomal RNA (358 nucleotides) under uncultured bacterium. RNAcentral's name for it is "bacterial SSU rRNA". It matches the Rfam family "Bacterial small subunit ribosomal RNA", at positions 8 to 353 of the family's 1533-position model. The record is from RNAcentral.